Small nuclear RNA from Panthera leo (lion), 107 nucleotides. The record is from Ensembl. Lineage: Eukaryota; Metazoa; Chordata; Mammalia; Carnivora; Felidae.
CUGCUCGCUUCAGCAGCACCUAUACUAAAAUCUGAACCAUACAGAGAAGAUUAGCAUGGGCCCUGCUGAAGGAUGAUGGACAAAUUUGUAAAAGUAAACUUUAUAUU